AUUGAACGCUGGCGGAAUGCUUUACACAUGCAAGUCGAGCGGCAGCGCGGGGGCAACCCUGGCGGCGAGCGGCGAACGGGUGAGUAACACAUCGGAACGUACCCUGUCGUGGGGGAUAACCAACCGAAAGGUUGGCUAAUACCGCAUACGACCUGAGGGUGAAAGCGGGGGAUCGCAAGACCUCGCGCGAUAGGAGCGGCCGAUGGCAGAUUAGCUAGUUGGUGGGGUAAAGGCUCACCAAGGCGACGAUCUGUAGCGGGUCUGAGAGGACGGCCCGCCACACUGGAACUGAGACACGGUCCAGACUCCUACGGGAGGCAGCAGUGGGGAAUUUUGGACAAUGGGGGCAACCCUGAUCCAGCCAUUCCGCGUGAGUGAAGAAGGCCUUCGGGUUGUAAAGCUCUUUCGGCAGGAACGAAAAGGCUCUCUCUAACAUAGGGGGUCAAUGACGGUACCUGAAGAAGAAGCACCGGCUAACUACGUGCCAGCAGCCGCGGUAA
This 500-nucleotide ribosomal RNA is filed under the name uncultured bacterium. RNAcentral's name for it is "bacterial SSU rRNA". It matches the Rfam family "Bacterial small subunit ribosomal RNA", at positions 29 to 523 of the family's 1533-position model. The record is from RNAcentral.